RNAcentral lists this transfer RNA (73 nucleotides) under Chlorokybus atmophyticus. Its description in RNAcentral is "tRNA-Ile". It matches the Rfam family "tRNA". Rfam says of the family: Transfer RNA (tRNA) molecules are approximately 80 nucleotides in length. Their secondary structure includes four short double-helical elements and three loops (D, anti-codon, and T loops). The record is from RNAcentral. Lineage: Eukaryota; Viridiplantae; Streptophyta; Chlorokybophyceae; Chlorokybales; Chlorokybaceae.
GGGCUUAUAGUUUAAUGGUUAAAACGUACCGCUCAUAACGGUAUUACUGUAGGUUCAAGUCCUACUAAGCCCA